RNAcentral lists this ribosomal RNA (460 nucleotides) under uncultured bacterium. RNAcentral describes it as "partial 16S ribosomal RNA". It matches the Rfam family "Bacterial small subunit ribosomal RNA", at positions 338 to 795 of the family's 1533-position model. The record is from RNAcentral.
CCUACGUGAGGCAGCAGUGAGGAAUAUUGGUCAAUGGACGAGAGUCUGAACCAGCCAAGUAGCGUGAAGGAUGACUGCCCUAUGGGUUGUAAACUUCUUUUAUGGGGGAAUAAAAUGUGCCACGUGUGGGAUUUUGUAUGUACCAUAUGAAUAAGGAUCGGCUAACUCCGUGCCAGCAGCCGCGGUAAGACGGAGGAUCCGAGCGUUAUCCGGAUUUGUUGGGUUUAAAGGGAGCGUAGGUGGGUUGUUACGUCAGUUGUGAACGUCUGCGGCUCAACCGUAAAAUUGCAGUUGAAACUGGCAGUCUUGAGUACAGUAGAGGUGGGCUGAAUUCGUGGUGUAGCGGUGAAAUGCUUCGAUAUCACGCAGAACUCCGAUUGCGAAGGCAGCUCACUGGACUGCACCUGACACUGAGGCUCGAAAGUGUGGGUAUCAAACAGGAUUAGAUACCCCAGUAGUC